RNAcentral lists this ribosomal RNA (406 nucleotides) under uncultured bacterium. Its description in RNAcentral is "partial 16S ribosomal RNA". It matches the Rfam family "Bacterial small subunit ribosomal RNA", at positions 29 to 526 of the family's 1533-position model. The record is from RNAcentral.
AUUGAACGCUGGCGGCAGGCCUAACACAUGCAAGUCGAACGAGUGGCGGACGGGUGAGUAAUGUCCGGGAAACUGCCCGACGGAGGGGGGUAACGACUGGACACGGUAGCUAAUACCGCAUACCAUCGGAUGGGCCCAGAUGGGUUGAGCUAGUAGGUGGGGUAACUGGUCACCUAGGCAACGAUCCCUAGCUGGUCUGAGUGGAUGACCAGCCCCACUGGAACGGAAACGCGGUCCGGCCCCAUACGGGAGGGAGCGGUGGAGUAUGUUAGACAGGGGGCGCAGGCCUGGUGCGAACAUGCCGAGUGUAUGGAGAGGGCCUUCGGGUUGUAAAGUACUUUCAGCGAGGAGGCGUUACUCGCAGAAGAAGCACCGGCUAACUCCGUGCCAGCAGCCGCGGUAAUAC